Nilaparvata lugens (brown planthopper) is the source of this 479-nucleotide long non-coding RNA. RefSeq lists it as uncharacterized. The transcript has 3 exons. The record is from RefSeq and is a predicted model, not a curated record. Lineage: Eukaryota; Metazoa; Arthropoda; Insecta; Hemiptera; Delphacidae.
UUGAUCACAGUCACGGAUAGGCUCACAAUGCUGUUGAAUGGGCUUCUGGUGUUUGAUGCUUUCUGUGGGAGGAGAUUUGGUGGUUUGUGACGUCAAGAUUCAGCUGUUGUUCUUUUCACGUUAGAGUUUCAUGUAAACACUGGUUUUAAAAAUGGAUGAUUCAACUCCAAAACCGUGGCAGUUGUGCAAUUUACCUCUCAAACGCCGGCAGCACACAAGAAGUUGGACCAUGUUGGAUACGCUUCUCAGGUUAAACGCCUCGAACCUGGGGUAUUAUUUCAUUCAUUGAAGAAUGAAGAUGAGGAAAUGGCUGACUCACCCAAUCGGUAAUCGAACGUUAGAAACAAUAACUAUGAAACUAGCAGAAAACAGUUGCAGCUUGCAGACUAGUAGAUCCUGCUAAGGUAGGCUAAUUCAAAUUCUUCAUUUACUAGUUGUUUUGCUAGUUAUGUUUACAAGACAAAAAAUAUCACUUGUAU